This is a non-coding RNA of Pantherophis guttatus, 435 nucleotides long. The record is from RefSeq and is a predicted model, not a curated record. NCBI's taxonomy places the organism in Eukaryota, Metazoa, Chordata, Lepidosauria, Squamata, Colubridae.
CCGAGUUUUCCACAUGGCUGUUUUUGAACUCAAUCAAACAUAAACAUCCGGAUGGAUUUCAUCUAAUAUGAUAUUGCCAGUGAAAUGAGACAAAUAACAGGUUCAAAAGGAAGAACAUGAAGUCCUCUGGAUGCUGUUGAAUUACAGAUUCCAGCUCUUCCAGUUAGCCUGGCUAAUGAUGAAAGAUUAUGCGGGACUCUGUUCAACCACAUUUGGAAGACACAAAUUCGCCAUUCCUGCUAGAAGAAACUAUACAAUAAUUCCAUGUCUAAAAUGCAAAAGACCACUGAAGGGAUACUAGUGCACUAUCAACAUGAAUGUUUUUGAAAGGAACAGGUGGAAUCCCCUGACCUCAAAAUAAAGCACCAGCUUCAGGUCACCCUCAUUUACCAAAUAUUACUGUUCUAAAUUAAAAUAUUAACAAAUGUAAUCAAA